AACGAACGCUGGCGGCAUGCCUAACACAUGCAAGUCGAACGAGACCUUCGGGUCUAGUGGCGCACGGGUGCGUAACGCGUGGGAACCUGCCCUUAGGUUCGGAAUAACUCCCCGAAAGGGGUGCUAAUACCGGAUAAUGUCUUCGGGCCAAAGAUUUAUCGCCUUUGGAUGGACCCGCGUUGGAUUAGCUAGUUGGUAGGGUAAAAGCCUACCAAGGCGACGAUCCAUAGCUGGUCUGAGAGGAUGAUCAGCCACACUGGGACUGAGACACGGCCCAGACUCCUACGGGAGGCAGCAGUGGGGAAUAUUGGACAAUGGGCGAAAGCCUGAUCCAGCAAUGCCGCGUGAGUGAUGAAGGCCUUAGGGUUGUAAAGCUCUUUUACCCGGGAUGAUAAUGACAGUACCGGGAGAAUAAGCUCCGGCUAACUCCGUG
RNAcentral lists this ribosomal RNA (433 nucleotides) under uncultured bacterium. Its description in RNAcentral is "partial 16S ribosomal RNA". It matches the Rfam family "Bacterial small subunit ribosomal RNA", at positions 29 to 507 of the family's 1533-position model. The record is from RNAcentral.